This 429-nucleotide ribosomal RNA is filed under the name Bacillota bacterium. Its description in RNAcentral is "Firmicutes bacterium partial 16S ribosomal RNA". It matches the Rfam family "Bacterial small subunit ribosomal RNA", at positions 355 to 776 of the family's 1533-position model. The record is from RNAcentral. Lineage: Bacteria; Bacillati; Bacillota.
UGGGGAAUUUUGGACAAUGGGCGAAAGCCUGAUCCAGCAAUGCCGCGUGUGUGAAGAAGGCCUUCGGGUUGUAAAGCACUUUUGUCCGGAAAGAAAUGGCUCUGGUUAAUACCUGGGGUCGAUGACGGUACCGGAAGAAUAAGGACCGGCUAACUACGUGCCAGCAGCCGCGGUAAUACGUAGGGUCCAAGCGUUAAUCGGAAUUACUGGGCGUAAAGCGUGCGCAGGCGGUUGUGCAAGACCGAUGUGAAAUCCCCGAAGUUAACUUGGGAAUUGCAUUGGUGACUGCACGGCUAGAGUGUGUCAGAGGGGGGUAGAAUUCCACGUGUAGCAGUGAAAUGCGUAGAGAUGUGGAGGAAUACCGAUGGCGAAGGCAGCCCCCUGGGAUAACACUGACGCUCAUGCACGAAAGCGUGGGGAGCAAACAGG